AAUGAAGUUACAAGCUCCCCACGGAAGUUCCAAACAGCUACUGUUCUAUUUCUGAACGUUAAGAAUAACUGAUUCUCGUACAGAAAUAUGAAUGCUGAUGGGGUCAUGAAUUCGGCUCUGCUGACUUCUGUCAACUCAGAAUUACGUACAUCCAGAAUCUGAAGAUUCUCGUUCUCUUGCUUGACAAGAAGCUUUUCAUUAAACUGUUCAAUGAAAUCAACCUUCUUAUUUCGGUGAAGAAGAUGGUUGAAAGAUUUAAGAACAGUACCGUCCUCGAUUGACAGAAUCUUCAGAGGCACAUGGCCACUAGCUUUGGUAAAUAUCAACAACAUGAUUCCCGGGCUUAUUUUAAUCUCUUGAACAUUUUUGUCCGAUAUUGAAUAUAACAUUGUGUAAUUCUUCAGGUCAAACACCUUGUAUAUGCUAUCCUGGGCAGAGUAAGUAAGGACUUUCCCAUUGACAUCAUCGAACUCCACAAAACCAGGCCAUUUUAAUGACUCCGACUCAAAUAAAGCAAAGCCUGCAUCUGGUUUACCUCUCCGAAUAUAUUCGAUUCUUGUGGUUCUGCAUUUCAAGGAACUGAAGUUAUCUGAUGCAUAGACGGAAACAGUGAUGAGCGAGUCAUUGUUUUUAUUGUAAAAUAAACUUCGUAUAACUUCAUCUGGACUGAUGUUCAGAAAGCAUAUUCUCUCAUUUGUCUCUCGACUAAAUGCAGCACAGACGCCAGAUUGUGCAAGGGCAAAG
This 744-nucleotide unclassified non-coding RNA is filed under the name Hevea brasiliensis (rubber tree). Lineage: Eukaryota; Viridiplantae; Streptophyta; Magnoliopsida; Malpighiales; Euphorbiaceae. The record is from RNAcentral.